GGUGCCAUGGCUUAGAUGGUUAAAGUGCCUGCCUAGUAAAUAGGAGAUCCUGGGUUCAAGUCCCAGUGGUGCCU
This is a non-coding RNA of Chiloscyllium plagiosum (whitespotted bambooshark), 74 nucleotides long. The record is from the annotation of a RefSeq genome assembly. Lineage: Eukaryota; Metazoa; Chordata; Chondrichthyes; Orectolobiformes; Hemiscylliidae.